This is a long non-coding RNA of Asterias rubens (European starfish), 430 nucleotides long. RefSeq lists it as uncharacterized. The record is from RefSeq and is a predicted model, not a curated record. The transcript is spliced from 3 exons. Lineage: Eukaryota; Metazoa; Echinodermata; Asteroidea; Forcipulatida; Asteriidae.
UACCUCUCUUUACGAGAAAGGGACUUGAAUCAAGUCUAAGGUUUUUCCCGGAUGUGAGGGUUUGGUGGAACUAUAAGAGCCAAGAACGGUUUCCGUGUAGUCAGACUGCAUCCUGAAGACGUCGAGAACAGACCUCUAGACAUCUCAACAUUAAUUGCAUCUUAGGUACAAGUAUUCGUUGAAAAUUGUCCUGACAGUGAACCAAGCACAGAGGAGCGUACAUUGGCGUCACCUUCGGAGAAAGGGACACUCAUCUUGCCCCGUGGACAUGAACUCUCUACUACAGGUAGCCGUCUGCAUUGGACUGGUACUCUGCAUCGCGGUACCAGUGGCAGAGUCGGGAAUAAAUGAAUGCAGCAAAAGCUACUCCUACGUCAGUACUAGAUCUAGAACGGUCUACUACACGGAGCGAUACAGCUACAAAUGUGGA